This 484-nucleotide ribosomal RNA is filed under the name uncultured bacterium. Its description in RNAcentral is "partial 16S ribosomal RNA". It matches the Rfam family "Bacterial small subunit ribosomal RNA", at positions 30 to 507 of the family's 1533-position model. The record is from RNAcentral.
AUUGAACGCUGGCGGCAUGCCUUACACAUGCAAGUCGAACGGUAACAGGUCUUUCGGGAUGCUGACGAGUGGCGAACGGGUGAGUAAUACAUCGGAACGUGCCUAGUAGUGGGGGAUAACUACUCGAAAGAGUGGCUAAUACCGCAUGAGAUCUAUGGAUGAAAGCAGGGGACCUUUGGGCCUUGUGCUACUAGAGCGGCCGAUGGCAGAUUAGGUAGUUGGUGGGAUAAAAGCUUACCAAGCCUACGAUCUGUAGCUGGUCUGAGAGGACGAUCAGCCACACUGGGACUGAGACACGGCCCAGACUCCUACGGGAGGCAGCAGCGGGGAAUUUUGGACAAUGGGCGCAAGCCUGAUCCAGCAAUGCCGCGUGCAGGAUGAAGGCCUUCGGGUUGUAAACUGCUUUUGUACGGAACGAAAAGUCUUGGGUUAAUACCCUGGGAUCAUGACGGUACCGUAAGAAUAAGCACCGGCUAACUACGUG